GUCUACGGCCAUGCUACCCUGAAGAUACCUGAUCCCAUCUGAUCUCGGAAGCUAAACAGUGUUGGGCCUGGUUAGUACUUGGAUGGGAGACCACCUAGGAAGACCAAGUGCUGUAGGCG
Non-coding RNA from Pteropus alecto (black flying fox), 119 nucleotides. Lineage: Eukaryota; Metazoa; Chordata; Mammalia; Chiroptera; Pteropodidae. The record is from Rfam.